AGAGUUUGAUCCUGGCUCAGGACGAACGCUGGCGGCGUGCCUAACACAUGCAAGUCGAGCGAUGAAAUCCCUUCGGGGAUGGAUUAGCGGCGGACGGGUGAGUAACACGUGGGUAACCUGCCUCAAAGAGGGGGAUAGCCUCCCGAAAGGGAGAUUAAUACCGCAUAACAUUAGUUUUUCGCAUGGAGAACUAAUUAAAGGAGUAAUCCGCUUUGAGAUGGACCCGCGGCGCAUUAGCUAGUUGGUGAGGUAAAGGCUCAUCAAGGCGACGAUGCGUAGCCGACCUGAGAGGGUGAUCGGCCACAUUGGAACUGAGACACGGUCCAGACUCCUACGGGAGGCAGCAGUGGGGAAUAUUGCACAAUGGGCGAAAGCCUGAUGCAGCAACGCCGCGUGAGUGAUGAAGGCCUUCGGGUUGUAAAGCUCUGUCUUUGGGGACGAUAAUGACGGUACCCAAGGAGGAAGCCACGGCUAACUACGUGCCAGCAGCCGCGGUAAUACGUAGGUGGCAAGCGUUGUCCGGAUUUACUGGGCGUAAAGGAUGCGUAGGCGGAUAUUUAAGUGAGAUGUGAAAUUCCCGGGCUUAACUUGGGAGCUGCAUUUCAAACUGGAUAUCUAGAGUGUGGGAGAGGAGAAUGGAAUUCCUAGUGUAGCGGUGAAAUGCGUAGAGAUUAGGAAGAACACCAGUGGCGAAGGCGAUUCUCUGGACCAUAACUGACGCUGAGGCAUGAAAGCGUGGGUAGCAAACAGGAUUAGAUACCCUGGUAGUCCACGCCGUAAACGAUGAGUACUAGGUGUAGGGGGGUCCAACCUUCUGUGCCGCAGUUAACACAAUAAGUACUCCGCCUGGGAAGUACGAUCGCAAGAUUAAAACUCAAAGGAAUUGACGG
This 890-nucleotide ribosomal RNA is filed under the name uncultured bacterium. Its description in RNAcentral is "bacterial SSU rRNA". It matches the Rfam family "Bacterial small subunit ribosomal RNA", at positions 8 to 916 of the family's 1533-position model. The record is from RNAcentral.